Molecule: ribosomal RNA, 405 nt
Filed under: uncultured bacterium
Lineage: Bacteria
Description: bacterial SSU rRNA
Rfam family: Bacterial small subunit ribosomal RNA
Source: RNAcentral
UCGGGAAUAUUGCACAAUGGAGGAAACUCUGAUGCAGUGACGCCGCGUGCAGGAAGAAGGUUUUCGGAUUGUAAACUGCUUUAGAUAGGGAAGAUAAAAGACUGUACCUAUAGAAUAAGCUCCGGCUAACUACGUGCCAGCAGCCGCGGUAAUACGUAGGGAGCAAGCGUUAUCCGGAUUUAUUGGGUGUAAAGGGUGCGUAGACGGGAAUUUAAGUUAGUUGUGAAAUCCCUCGGCUUAACUGAGGAACUGCAACUAAAACUGAAUUUCUUGAGUGCGGGAGAGGAAAGUGGAAUUCCUAGUGUAGCGGUGAAAUGCGUAGAUAUUAGGAGGAACACCAGUGGCGAAGGCGACUUUCUGGACCGUAACUGACGUUGAGGCACGAAAGUGUGGGGAGCAAACAGG